Long non-coding RNA from Oncorhynchus tshawytscha (Chinook salmon), 351 nucleotides. NCBI's taxonomy places the organism in Eukaryota, Metazoa, Chordata, Actinopteri, Salmoniformes, Salmonidae. The record is from Ensembl.
GACAACCCUCACCUCCUCCACCCCUCUGCGCCCCCAGACCUGACAGCCACAGCGGGUACCUUCAGGGAUCCUCUCUUCUCCCUGCGGCAGGGUGCCAACGAUGGUCACCACAAGAUCCCCAUGACAACCUCUCCCCUGCUGGACCCCUGCCCAGCCUCAAGAUCAAGAUGUACAACAACUCGUCCACCCUGUCGUCCCUGGAGCUGCCAGCAGAGCUCCGCGGCGACCCUGAGAUCCUCGGCCUGAAGCACGUGGGCGGCACCAUGGGCAGGACUGUGGCAUGGGACAGAGAUGGGUACCACCACGGCUGGCAUCAUACAGUGGUCAGAGAUCCUGGCCACAGCACCUCCG